AUCUCACAGGAAUUUGGGGAAAGAAUAGUGACAUAACACAGUCAGCCUUUGAUCGACAUUGAAUAUUAAAAACCAUGAUUGUUAGUAACUUUUACAUACACUCGAAAGAUAGGGCUUGCCCAGUCCAGACCCUCAACAACCUGAGGUCUGCAAGCUGUCAAUCGACUUUUUGAUUUAGUAUCAGAAUUGAGGUAGAAUUUUUUCACGUAUUAUAGGUUAAUAAAAAAAAAUCUGAAACAGUUUUCUCAUUAAUUAAAAAAUUUUGAGCAGGUCAAACCACACUAAAAUACAAUUUCAUGCCUAGCACCAUGGCUACAAUAAAAAAUAAUGGAAAAUAACAAGUUUUAGUGACAAUGUAGAGAAACUGGAACUCUUGUAUUUUGCUGAUGGGAAUGUAAAAAGUGCAGCCACUAUGGAAAACAGUUUGGCAGUUUCUUGAAAAGCUAGCCUCAGAAUUACCAAAUGAUUUAGCAAUUCCAUGCCUAGAUAUAUAGACAAAUGGAUUGAAAACAAGGACUCAAACAGAACUUGGACCCUAAUGUUCAUUACAACAUUAUUAAUAACAUCCAAAAGGAGGAAACAACCCUAGUAUCCAUCAGCAGAGGAAUGGACAACAAUGUGUUUUAUACACGUAAUGGAAUAUUAUGCAGUCAUAAAAAUAAAUGAAGUUCUGACACAUGGUACAAUACGCAUAAGACAUCAUGCUGAGUGAAAUAAACUGGACACAGAAGAACAAAUAUUGUAUAUUCCACUGAUAGGAAAUUUCUGGAAUAGGCAUAUUCAUGGAGACAGAAAACAGAUUUGAGGUAACUAGAGGCUGUGGGGAGGGGAGAGUGUAAAGUCACUACCUAAUUGUUAGAGUUUCUGUUUAAGGUGAUUAAAAAGUUUUGGAAGUGGACAGUAGUGAGGGUUGCAGAACAUUGUGAACAUAAUUAAUGCCACUGAAUUGUACAUUUAAAGUAGUGAAAAUGGCAAAUUCUAAGCUGUAUAUAUUUUACCACAAUCAUAUAUUUACAAAAUAAACAAAUACAUAAAUAUAUUGCCUCUAAUUUAAAAAAUCUACACUUUCAAACAGUUCAAAAAUAAAAGCAGUAAACACUGAUAAUUCUUACCCCUUUCUCUGAUUCCAUCCAUCUUGUUCCUUUUCACAAGUAACCAUUUGUUAUUAAUUUUCAGAUAGCCACUGUUACUAAUUUCUUAAGUUAUACUUUUGGUAUAUCUUUAUGCAAAUACUAAGUAAGAAUAAAGAAUUCUUAUUCCCUUUUUCCAUAUAUAUGCAUAUUAUUAUACAUUCCAUGUUCUCUGUCUUCACUUACCCAUUUAAAGCUACAUCCUAGAGAUAUUUUCAUAUCAGCAUAUAAUGAGCUUCCCCAUUCUUUUAUACUGCUGUACAAUAUUCCUUUAGGUGCAUAUACUAUAGUUACUUUAACCAGUCCCCUAGAGUUUUGAACUUCUGAUAGUUAGAGCUUUCAAUGUAUAAUUUUAAACAUAUGUGCAUAACACAUUAAACACAUUUUUUUUAUUCAUAUGUGCAAUUUUUACUGUAGGAUCAGUUUCCAAUAUUGGGAUUGCUAAAAUCAAAGGGUAAUUGCAUUUACAAGUUUAAUAGCUAUAACUAAUCCUCCUUGUACCCAUCAAUAGCCCUAGAGGAUGCCUGUUUGUUCAAAGAAUCAUCCAAAAAAAUGUAUUAAAUUUUGGUCUUACUAAACUCAUUAGUGAAAAAAACGGUAUUUGGGUAUAUUUUUAAUUUAUACUACUCUUAUUCUGAGAACAGUUUGGUAUCUUUUUAUAUACUUAAAGGUCAUUUAAUUUUUUUUUUUUUUUUGAUCCAGCAGUUUCCAGAAUCCAAAUGAAUGAGAGGCUAAUGGUAGCUUUUCAGGCUGGGUUAACUGGAAGGUCCAUCUAAUUCUCUGCAUUCUCAUUUCCACAAUGCACAUACAUGCUUUUAGAUAUCCUGGGGGUGGGUGGAAAGAGCAUUGCUUUUGGCUGUAAGGGGAUGAGGUAUGGGGGAGAAGGCAGGCUGCCCUCUAAGCGCACCGGAUCACAAUUAGUGUGAAAAGUGAGCUUUGAGUCAAUAAGUCUAAUAAAACCACUUUGUCUAAUGUCCUCCCAACUUUUCAUGCAAUUUCCAAAGAGCUGCCUGUGAAAAUCUCCUCAAGAAAGAUGAUCACCUGAGCUUGCAGAUUUCAUACUAUGUAGCUCCACAUUUUCUUGGGAGAAACCACAAAGCCAUUCAAUCAUUUCCCUUUGAGAUAAAAUAAAUAACAACAAUGCCACAUAAAUAGCAUCAGUGAGCUGUGAGGGCAAGCUGUCAUUUCCAGGAGAGGGAUGUGUUUUUAUAUCCAAGGGUACAGCAUAUAAUCAUAUUAAAAAAUUCCAAAGAUAGCAGAAAUUCAAAUGGGUGGGUUUUGUCAUUAAGCUGCCUGCAGGUGUUCCAUUUAGAUCAGUUGCUACAUUUGCAAGCCAGAAGGAAAGAAGUGGGCUUUUGCUUAAUUCAUUGAAUCUCAGAAGAAAAUGAACAUUUCUUUCCCCAUGACAAGCAAGAAUUUGCCUCAGACGAACUUGACGUACUGCCGGCUUAUGUUCUAACUUUGUCUGAGACUGUCACGCCACUCUUCCAAAGUUGCCAAGAUCAGAGGCCAAAAGGAAAAAGAAUGGGGCUUUUCUAAGACUGCUGGAUGAUAUCUUCCCCACAAUCUGUCCUGAGGUGUCAUUGCAAGUGUCCGUGUGAAUCAGGCCAGAGAGAAAAACAAAAAGAGAGGCAUUCUUGAGCCCCAAAGUGGCUCCUGCUAAGAUAAAAUAACCAAAGGACAUGAUGGGUGCAGGACAUCGAUAACCAACCUGGGCUGGGUCAGCAUUUCUAAGUUUUUAACCAAGAAAUAUUGAUUUAUGUUUAUUAUGCUUUAUGGCACUUUAGAGCAAUUUAUAACACUUACAUUAAGCAAUGGAUGGGCCGGGAGAAAAGCCAAGAUGGGCAUGAAAAAAGAUGAAGUGCUGUCAGGAACAGCAACUUUCAAGUAUCAGGUGCAAUUUCGUGCUUUUGCAUUUUAUCCGAACUCUUUAACAUGAAGGAAGAAAAUCAUUAUUGAUUUUUAAGUUACACAAACAAAAAAAUACAAGUUGAAUAAACAUAAAGGAAAUUUUAAAAUUCACAUAUGUAUAUACACACACAUACAUAAUACAUAUGUCCCCAACUGUUACAAAUAAAAGCAAAAAUAAAGCCUUUCUCCAUAGACAUUUUUAAAAUAUACCUAAUUAGCACCAUAAUGUAAAAUAAAAGGAAAAAUAGUAUCAUAUAAAAUAUGUUUUCAGAAGUUCCCAUUGUGGCUCAGUGGGUUAAGAACCCUAGAUAGGCUCUGUGAGGAUGCAAGUUCAAUCCGUGGAUCAAGGAUCUGGCAUUCCAUUCCUGCAAGCUGUGGCAUAGGAAAGACUUCAGAGACCAGAGACAUUUUCCCUGUAUGUGUCCCGCAAGAGCAGUUCCAGGAUUUAGCAUCAGGUAAACAAAUGAAAGUAUGCAAAGUAGUCUCAAGAAACCAUAUUGAAAAGCAGAGUUUUACAGAUAGAGAAGUUGUUCAUUCUCUUCAUGAACAUCGAUUAGUAUCAUCAAUAGUUAUUGUUAGGAAACACUUUCAGAGCUAGAAAGUUGCCAAAGUAUUUAAUCUAAUUAAUUACUGUUAUCAUUAGCAAUUUUUAGUAGUGAGACAUUUGCUUCAGUAUUACUACACAUCUCCUUCAAAACACAGUUCAAAGAACACCCCCUUUGUUCUGAGUAAGAAUAAAGUAGAAGUUGGGAGUGAGGUGAGUUGCAGUGAAAUUUGGGAGGAUAGAUACAAUUUUCAAUCAUUUUAACUUGGAAAAUUUCCUUUAGGAGACUGUCCAUGAUUCUGCAGAAAUCUUAGAGGCAUCACAGGAGAACUGAGUUUUGAGUUGUGUUUGUAAAGGCUCAAUGAAAAUGAUUUCAUGACAUAAGAAGAUGCAGUUCUAAGUGAGGAAAACAUCAGAAAGAUUGGGUUUGGUGGAUGAGAGAUGGAAUAAGGAAUCUCUUAUAAAAUUGAUAAUAAUAGCAGUAAAUAGGAAUGAUUUUAGCAGGCAAAGUAAUACUAGCAUGGAACACUGAACACAAGAUUAAAUAUCAUUACAAUGCAUAUGAACAAACAGUUUAGAAGGGAGAAAGCUGAAUAAGGAUAAAAGAAUGAAUGUGAAAGAGUAGACCUCAAUAGGAAUCAGUUCAGUUUGAUUUGGGGAAAAUCCGGUCCAUAAUAGUGAAAUCAGUGGGCCCAAGGAAGAAUCUGUAUCCCAAUUAUCUAACAUCAUGACUUUUCUCAGUCCAAUAACAAUGGUGAAUUCCUCUUACUGGUUUGGAGUGUAAGAUUUUAGCUGGGCAGUCAAGGGCUUUCAAGAUUGGUGCUAAUGUCAUUCUCCAAGGAUUUUUUUCCCCAAAGUCCCCAUCAUUCUAGGAAAUCUAUUGCAUGCAUCCUCAAAACACACAAAUGUCCUCCACUUAAGGUGGAGUGUAUUCAUUGACUGAAUAUUAAUUGAUACCUGGAUGGUUUGUCCGGUGAUCAGCUUCGCAUUCCUUCCCUCAGUCCCUGGAACCCAGCAGUUGAUCAUACAUAAAUUCUCUUUAUUGGGGGGUGGGGUGGGGGGGGAGACUCUCUCAGAAUGGCUCAAAUCCACUUCCAUUUGCCCCAUGAGGAAACUGAACCUGUGGGGGAAAAGUCCUAGCUCCCUCCCAGGACUCCCCUGGCUCUGCCACCUAGUGGGCAGCUUUAGUCACUCCUAUUGCUUUUGAAUUUCUUAAAUUUCUAUCUUCCCUGAUUCCUUAUUCCCAUGCCUCCAACUCCAGAAACACAAAUAAAGUUCCCCCCUCAAAGCUCAGGCUUGUUUGAGAAGGUGGAGCAGAGCACUCUGAUCACCCCUUCCUCCUCAACAGUUCUCUUCUCCUGGCUGCUAUGGCAAUUCCCUAUGCUGCCAGAAUCAGUUUCAUACCCUUAGCAUGUCCUUUGCAGGGCCCCUGUCCCCUCACCCCACUCGGGUGUGCUUACUCUCAGCCUUCAGUGCUUCAGACAAAACUGAAUUUAAAGUUCAGUUUCACUUAAAUAUUUAGAUGUAUUUAAUAUCUUGUUCUUAUAUAAUAUUGGAGGUAGAAAGACUCUUUGGUGCUCUUUCCAAAAAAAUCUUUUAUCAUGUUAGUCAUUCCUCUUUGACUUAAACAUAUUUACUCAUGUUGAAUUCAUCACUUCUGUGUCAGCCAGCUUCAUUGCAAGUUACCCCACAUAGCUAGAUCUUCCUUAUAUUAACAUACCAUUUCUCUCACUGUCAUUUUGCCUUAUCUGUCCUGGUUCUGUCCUUUAGUGUAAACAUUGAGUCUUCAGUGUAAGCUUCUAAGAUUGUUUCAGAAUUCAGUAUGCAAAGAUGGCUAGGGAGUUGGUCAGGAGAAAAUGGCAGAAAUUAGAAGAAGUGAUUUAAUUAACUGAAACCAGGGGGGAAAAAAAUGGUGGCCAAGAAUCAUAUCAUCGAGAUACAGAAGUGACAAUACAGUUGUAAGGAAGAAUUAGGGAUGCAAGACAAAGUGAUAUUUUGUGUGAGCAUGUUUGUGUGUAUGAUGGUUUGCUUAACUCAGGGCUGAUGGCAUGAGUACAGAACUGUGGCUGCACAGAUAAGAGACCAACAAGGCAUCAAAAUGAAAUCUCUAAAAUGAAGUGAGAUUGGCUUACAAUGUUGUGUGCUUAUGUGGGAGGGAUAUAGGUAAAGCAAAAAAGUUUAAAAAUUAAGGUAUUUUAUAUCACAAUGUAUCUUUAGGCAUUCAAUGUAUAGUCAUCAUCUUCUAUCAAGAAAACAGGAGCUUAAGGGAGCUGACCUGGCCAUGAUGGUAGGGUAGGAGUGAAAGUUGAUGCCCUGUGAAGUCCAAACUUGUAGAAACAGACCCCUGCUGAAAUCCAAAGAGUUUAGAAAGAGCUUGAGGUUAAAGACAUUAAAAAUUUCCAAUGGAGCACUAAAAUAGCAAGAGCCCUUAAAUCCAGGUUUAGGGAACCAAAAGUACCAGAUGAUUAAAGAGCUGAAUGUAACAGGUCAAGUAGGAAAGUUUGAGGGUGACAGGCAAAUGUCUGAGACAAGUCUGAUGCUCAGUAUUGGAGUCUGUGAUUUCUGAACCAUGAUGCAUGAGUGGAUCACUUUCAUUAAAGAGUUGGGGAUAGAGCCUAAUGAUCGGUUGUUAUUACUGAGUCAUUUUAUUCAAUAGAGCUAGAAGUUGUAGGGACAGAAAAUUUCUGGAAUUGGAGAAAUCCCAUAGUCCUGGAGAGUCCACAUUGCUAGAUAUGAUAUUUUCCUGGUUGGUUGCUUCUAAUUUCUCUGAUGAGAAGAGAAAUACAUCAAAGCAUUGACCUGAUCCCUUGAACCCUCUAUUUCUAGGUCUGUUUUGAACUCUUCCAAGAUGUGGCAGUCUAAGUGACCAAGACCAAGGAGGUCUUGGUCAUAGAAAGUUUUGCUCCAGAGUUAGGUGAUUGACUUUGGUCAGUGUUGUUUCCCUAAGACACUAAUGCUGGGAAGGAAUUUCCUACUACCUUCAAAGGUCAGAGGUCUUGAUGUCUAUUUAUGUAGAGUGGAGAAGAAUAGAACCUCAGUAUGUGUAAACCCAGAUUUUAAAUGCCAGAACAUUACGGAUGUGACUAGAACCAGGCAAAUCCUUUUCAUUCCCAAAGAGGUUGUUUCUACCAUAAAUGUAGGAACAUGAACAAGUCAAUGGCAAUCAGUGGUGGACCCCAAAAUUUACUGAGUCCAUCUAAUCAUCUUUAGGGACAUUCCACCAGUAUGUAGUCCUGUAUCAUACCAUCCAUCAUAUUGGACAGACAAAACAUGGCCCAGAAACUCUAUUUGGGUUCUUGAGCACACAGUUUUUAGGGUUGGUCCUGGGGUGGUGCUCUUGCUUGGAC
This 6932-nucleotide long non-coding RNA is filed under the name Sus scrofa (pig). Its description in RNAcentral is "lncRNA (ENSSSCG00025012383.1)". Lineage: Eukaryota; Metazoa; Chordata; Mammalia; Artiodactyla; Suidae. The record is from RNAcentral.